This 76-nucleotide non-coding RNA is filed under the name Actinoplanes regularis. Its description in RNAcentral is "SAH sequence". It matches the Rfam family "SAH (S-adenosyl-L-homocysteine) riboswitch aptamer". Lineage: Bacteria; Bacillati; Actinomycetota; Actinomycetes; Micromonosporales; Micromonosporaceae. The record is from Rfam by way of RNAcentral.
CGGGUCGAGGGGCGCUGCGACGGAUGAGAAUCCGCCACGCUCGGCCCGUGCCUGGUCGUAAGGGCGCCUCCCACCG